This 340-nucleotide unclassified non-coding RNA is filed under the name soil metagenome. RNAcentral describes it as "partial contains 5.8S ribosomal RNA, internal transcribed spacer 2, and large subunit ribosomal RNA". The stretch from base 1 to 120 matches the Rfam family "5.8S ribosomal RNA", at positions 35 to 154 of the family's 154-position model. The record is from RNAcentral.
GAUGAAGAACGUAGCGAAAUGCGAUAAGUAGUGUGAAUUGCAGAAUUCAGUGAAUCAUCGAAUCUUUGAACGCACAUUGCGCCCUUUGAUAUUCCAAAGGGCAUGCCUGUUCGAGCGUCAUUUGUACCCUCAAGCUUUGCUUGGUGUUGGGCGUCUUGUCUCUAGCUUUGCUGGAGACUCGCCUUAAAGUAAUUGGCAGCCGGCCUACUGGUUUCGGAGCGCAGCACAAGUCGCACUCUCUAUCAGCAAAGGUCUAGCAUCCAUUAAGCCUUUUUUUCAACUUUUGACCUCGGAUCAGGUAGGGAUACCCGCUGAACUUAAGCAUAUCAAUAGCGGAGGA